RNAcentral lists this long non-coding RNA (3387 nucleotides) under Triticum aestivum (bread wheat). RNAcentral describes it as "long non-coding RNA (TAES_LNC005128)". Lineage: Eukaryota; Viridiplantae; Streptophyta; Magnoliopsida; Poales; Poaceae. The record is from RNAcentral.
UUCCUAUUCAUAUGUAGGAUAGGAAUCAAUCCUUCACAUUUCAAAGGGAAAAAAACAUUAGCCUAGACUCAAUGGAAAAAAUCUUAUCCUAUGAAUCAAGUGACAUCUCUUUUCCUAUAGGAAGUGAGAUGCAUGCCACCUCACUUCCUAUGAUUUUCCUAUUCCUAUGAUAUUUCUACCCUAUGAACCAAAGGAGGCCUAAUAAUGCAAUUUCUGCGCGUCCAGGUUGGUUGGCCUCUCUAUUAUGAUGAGCCGGCCCAUUAUUGGCAAGCAACCUGUGAGCAAUGCCGAGAAGCCACAACCUCGGGUUCCUCAUACAAUGAGAGGCUCGGCAUGGGUGGCGGAUAGAAUUUAGUUGAAAAGAUGGUACAUAUGUAUAGGGCCACAUCUCUUAUAGAUUUCAGUAUAGAUGCUCUACACAUUGGUCUCACUCCGCACAUUGUAGUAUAUGACACUUGUUGCAGAUUACAGAUCCUCCUUCCAUGUCAUAUUAUAAUCUGAUUGCUCGCGCAGUGCAGUCAGAAAAUUCUUGGUUUGGGCAUGCAUUAAAUAAUUGUUAGUGUCAACCAUAUUGAAUUGGCGUUACUGUGUUCAUGAUACACUUCCACAAUACAUAAUUAUUUUAAUGUGAUGCUACACAUUCUGGGAGAAAAAUAAACGGCAAGGUCUUCCCCAAAAGUUAUUUCAUUCUAACGGUUUAAUCAAUUCGUUUAGGCGACACUAGGUGACCUUAAUACUUCUGGUUGGAGCGUCCUCGAAAGCAAAGCUGGCGAAGAGAGGCGGCGGUGCUUUGUGUGUUGAAUCCUUCAAACCAUCCCAUGCAUCGGCUGGAAAUUGAGUUAGAGGAGGAUGUGAAUAUCACCUUCUCUGUUAAAGGCCAAAGCUCGAUUUAUUUGUCAGGAUAUUACAUCCUUACGAAUCCCAAGACUUGCACUACUAAAAGAAAUUCAUUCAGAAAACGAAAGUAUGAUCAAGAGGUCUCGGACAGGUAUAUCAUCUUUUUCAACCUAAUACGGGGGGCAGUGUUGAUGGUGUUGCCAUGCAAAGUAAUACUCCCAAAAUAAUACCAGCUACCAUCAUGUAAAUAAUCAUAAUAGCCGCUAAGAAUCCUAAGGCAACAUGAGCAUGAUACCGAUAAAACAAUAUGAGCAUAUCAUGAACAUAGGAAUCUGUCGAUACUAACAUGCAACAUAAUAACACUACAUGCACCAAUUAUUCUGCUCGGGUUAUCUCGCAACCAUCACAUGCAGCACUUACCAACCUCGGACAUCACACGAUCAUCUCAGGAUCAACUCAAGCUUGGUAUAAAUAAUACCGUAGUAAUCAUUAAAUGACCACAAGGAGCUUGAUCUUUACCCAUGAUUCUCGCAUAACAUCACGAAUAUCCAACAACUCGGUAUCCUCGAUACCACGGUGAUCAUUCCGACGAUCACAACCAUGACCAACAAUUGGUCUUAAACAGUGAUCAUUCCGACGACCACAACCAUGACAACACUUGGUCUCAAACGGUGAUCAUUCCGGCGAUCACAACCAACUUAACUCCUCAUCGAACUGGGGUUGUCAUUAAUCAAGUUAUUAUUAAUACUGUUGACUCACGGUGGGACCGACACGAACUGGGCCCUUAUCCGCGGGUGCGGCUAUCGAUAGAUUUAAUAUACACUCUGCAGAGGUAGCACACUGUACCCACACCACGGAACCCAUGGCCUCGUACUCCUAUUCGGGUGGACCAACGGCGUUCCGACAAAACCGAUCUACUGUCGUGACACUCUCCCGGCCACUUCGACCCACUCCCAACUGGGCUAGUCCUGGGUGGCCCCGUGUCUACCAAAGACACCCCGACCACCGUCGUGGUCAAACGUCCCUCACUGGGACCGGAUCCAUAAAAAUAAAAACAACGGGCACACAAGGUUAUGUCCGCCUACCUGAUCAGGGUAAGCACGCCCAUAACCUUCCCUCGUGGGAGGCACCGGCGAGACGCACGACAAUAGACCCAGUUAGGACCUUACCCAUAUGGUAAGCGUGGUUGCACUGGUCAGUUUCGAUUUGGCGGCACCAUGGCUCAGCCAACAGUUGUUCAAGUUCAAUUAAAUCCGGUUAAACUUGAAUAUAAAAUGUUGAGCCAUGAUAAAAUAACAUGAUGCAAUUACAAUGCAUGAGCAUAAUAUCAACAUAAGCACGGGAUGCAACAUAACUGUCCAUCAUAUCAAUUAUGAAAUAAUCUCCAACUGAACAUGGCAUAAUGGCGACCAUAAAUAUUACAAGUGCAACACUACUCAUAGUAUAACAUAACAUGACCACUAGCAUCAACCAUAAAUAACAUGCAAGAACUUAUCAAUAACGUCACCGAGUAACACUUAACCAACUAACAGCAAAGGAACAACGCAUAUUAACAGUACUCGAUAACCAACGUUAAUCAUGCACCGAAGAGCAAGACCAACCCAACAUGUAGUACUAUCAAGCAUGGCAAUAUGAAAGUAAUACUAGCAACUAGCAGAGCAUGAUAACCAGGUGCAUAACAACAUAGCAAACAAGUAAGCACAAUCCCAAAAGCAACGAUAACCAUAUUUUAAACAAGCAAUCAUUUAAUAAAUAUUCAAGUUGAAAACCAUGGCUACUGCAUGACUAUCAUGCAAAUGGGUAUUGUGGCUUGCCUGGGGGUGUAGAAGGCACCGGGGAGAAGUGCGGUGAAGUCGCAGAAAGAUUUGCUAGAAACAGUUCUCUCUCAAAGGGGCUGUUUACGUGCAAGGGCAAAAAGGUCAUUUUCACAGUGUAAAACCAUAGUGAAAAUGAAACCAACAGAACGGGCUCGACGAGACAAAGAAGUGGGAUUUGGAUUCACCUCAUUUGGAGUUACGGUUGAAAAGUUAUGAGGAGUUGAAAAUCGGGGACCUAUCGGUGAAACUUUUUUAGCAAACAGGCCCCUGGUGGAUAAACAGAAAGCGCCUUCUCUGAAAAUACAUUUCCCAGAGAGGAAAACGCAUUCUUUCCCGAAGAAUAAAUGGAAUACAUCUUCGAUAAGGGAAAGCAUACUCACAGAAGUACGUUUCCACUUAUCCACGCUGGCAAGCGCGGGGCCGGGCCUUGAGCAGCUGACAUAGGGGGCUCACGCGCAGGGGGAGGGGGCCAGCUAGGCGUCGUCUUCCUCCUUGCUGCUCCCCCGAUGGGAAUCAUAGGAGCAGAGGCAGGGGAGAGGCCGGCGAUGGCCCGGGCAGCUCUGGCAGUCCCUGGCCAAGCCGUGGCCACCGACGGGCGCAGGAGGAAUGGACACACCCGUCCCCAAGGUCAACCGGCACUGAGGAGGGGCGGGACAAGCGCAAGGAGAGGGGAACAGAGGCGGCUCCGGCGGCGGUUGAACUUGAAGACGGCGCCUUCUGCUAUUGCGGCGAG